Molecule: transfer RNA, 75 nt
Filed under: Chloroflexota bacterium
Lineage: Bacteria; Bacillati; Chloroflexota
Description: Chloroflexi bacterium tRNA-Gly
Rfam family: tRNA
About the family: Transfer RNA (tRNA) molecules are approximately 80 nucleotides in length. Their secondary structure includes four short double-helical elements and three loops (D, anti-codon, and T loops).
Source: RNAcentral
GCGGGCGUAGUUCAGUGGUAGAACGCAUGCUUCCCAAGCAUGAUAUCGUGGGUUCGAGUCCCAUCGCCCGCUCCU